RNAcentral lists this small RNA (167 nucleotides) under Rhizobiales bacterium GAS191. RNAcentral describes it as "caulobacter sRNA CC2171". It matches the Rfam family "caulobacter sRNA CC2171". The record is from RNAcentral. RNAcentral also lists the same sequence under 2 other names. Lineage: Bacteria; Pseudomonadati; Pseudomonadota; Alphaproteobacteria; Hyphomicrobiales.
CAACAAUCGAAAGGAGGUGGUCCAGUGUCUCAUUGUCAUUUGCCGCGUCGGUCGCCGAAUCGCGCCUGGAUCCUCGCCUCUCGCGAGUUCCUGGCUGCGUGACACUUUGAGGUCCGACGGCCGGACCGCGGUUCGACACUGGAAGGGCCGCCCCGCGGGGCGGCCCU